GGGCCGGGAGCGCGGCCUACGCGGCCCAAGGAGGAGGAGGGCGGUGAGAGGGCUACAGGCCUGGCGGUACAUUUCAGCAUCAAGACUAGAAAAAAAUAAAGAAUGGCUGUGGAGGAACUUCAAUCCAUUAUAAAGAGAUGUCAAAUCCUAGAAGAGCAAGACUUUAAAGAAGAAGACUUUGGCCUGUUUCAGUUAGCAGGCCAAAGAUGCUUAGAUGAAGGGCACAUAGAUCAACUAGUAGAAAUUAUUCAAAAUGAAAAGAAUAAGGUCAUCGUCAAGAACAUGGGCUGGAAUCUAGUUGGUCCUGUUGUUCGAUGCCUUUUAUGGAAUGAUAAGGAAGAUGAUAAAAGAAAGUAUUAUUUUCUGAUGCUUGAUGUACUGGUAAAGUUAUGUAAUCCAAAGGAAUUAUUGUUGGGUUUGCUUGAACUGAUUGAAGAGCCGUCUGGAAAACAGAUAUCCCAAAUUAUUCUUCUUUUACUUCAGCCAUUACAAACAGUGAUUCAGAAACUUCGUAAGAACAAGGCGUAUUCAGUCGGGCUAGCGCUGUCCACUCUGUGGAGUCAGCUCUCGCUGCUUCCUGUUCCGUGCUCGGAAGAACAAGUGCGAGCGGACGACCACGGCCUCUGUCGGUGCUGCAAGGCCCUGACAGAGUUUGCUCAGCCUUUUGUGGAGGAAGUCACUGCUGACAAGGAAAACUCAAUGGAAAAUGAAAAAUUAAAGGAUGAAUUACUGAAAUUUUGUUUCAAAAGCUUGAAAUGCCCUUUGCUGACAGCACAGUUCCCUGAGCCGUCUGAAGAAGCUGGAAACGAUCCUUUAAGGUGUUUUGCGUCUGAAAUAAUAGGUUUUUUAUCAGCAAUUGGAUACCCUUUCCCCAAAAUGAUUUUUAAUCAUGGAAGGAAAAAGAAGACUUGGGAUUAUCUUGAAUUUGAGGAAGAAGAGCACAAGCAGUUAUCAGACUCCCUGGCUUCUCUGGCAUACCUCGUGUUUGUGCAGGGCAUCAGCAUUGAUCAGCUUCCCAUGGUCUUAAGCCCAUCAUACCUUUUGCAAUUUAACAUGGGCCAUAUUCAAGUCCUUUUACAAAGAACAGAGGAGUCUGUUUUCUCCAAAGGAUUGGAUCUGUUGGAGAACGGUUUGUUGAGAUUAGAGGACAACAGUCUGCUUCACCAGUACUUAGAAAUCAAGAGUUUCCUUACUGUGCCUCAGGGCUUAGUCAAAAUAAUGACACUCUGCCCCACUGAGACACUGAGAAAAAAGGGUUUAGCUGUGCUUCAGUUGUAUAUUAACAAGUUGGAAUCACAAGGCAAAUAUACAUUAUUUAGGUGCUUACUGAAUACAAGUAAUCACUCAGGUGUGGAGGCCUUUAUUAUUCAAAAUAUCAAAAAUCAAAUUGAUGUGUCAUUAAAGAGAACACAUGACAACAAAUGGUUCACAGGACCACAGCUGAUUUCCCUUCUAGAUCUGGUGCUCCUUCUCCCAGAGGGUGCUGAAACAGAUCUACUGCAAAACUCAGAUAGGAUAAUGGCCUCAUUAAAUUUAUUGAGGUAUUUGGUUAUCAAAGAUAAUGAAAAUGACAAUCAAACUGGACUAUGGACAGAACUCGAAAAGAUUGAAAAGAAUUUCUUAAAGCCACUCCAUAUAGGACUUAAUAUGUCAAAAGCACAUUAUGAAGCAGAAAUUAAAAACAGCCAAGAAGUCCAGAAGUCUAAAGAUCUUUGUUCUGUAACUGUGGGUGGAGAAGAGAUCCCUAAUAUGCCUCCUGAAAUGCAGCUUAAGGUCCUACAUUCAGCUCUUUUCACAUUUGAUUUGAUUGAAAGUGUUCUGGCUCGAGUAGAAGAACUCAUUGAAAUGAAAACAAAAUCUACCCUCUGAAGAAAAUAAGAGAUAAAGUCAAAGUUCCAUCUCCUAAAUAAAAAUUACAGAUGCUGUCUAUGUAUGCUUUGGAGGUGACCUGGAAGAAGAUAUAAACAAGCAACAUUAUUUAGAGAAGUAAGGUGUUUCAAACAAGGUGUGGCAAACCAACAAGUAGAAUACUGUAAGAAUUGCUUCCGUGGAGAUCUCUUCCAAGUGUAACGCCUAACUCUGCCUAGGGAAGCUGGGAGCACACUUCACAGAGAAGGACAAGCAUGAAAAGAAAGUGGGUAACUGGAGAAAAGCAUUCUGUAAAAUAGUAUGUACUCUGACAGUUCAUGUCUCCUAAUAUUUAUACUUGAGAACUUGAAGAAAGCUUUAAGUAACCAAUAGGGUCAACACAACGCGUAUGUGGCCAAACGCUCUUUCAGCCCCAAAUGAGCCAUUCUGGUAGCUGCCACUGGAAGUAAACUGAGAAGACCCGAGAGGCUGGGUUCAGGCUUGGGAACGAGCUGCAUGUGGAAAUGACAACUUCUCUGAGGGGAACAAAAGUUGAGUAUUUUGUCAGUUCUACUGAAGAGGGUGUGCAUUCUGAAGUCAAGAACUAUAUAAAGUGUAUGAGUGUGGAAUCUGUGUAAUUUUGCUCAGAUGACUUACCUUAGCUAUAGUGCACAUAAGAUUAAUAGCAUUUAUUGUGUUGUGUACUGGAAGUAUCCGUAAGUUACUACCCAGGAAUCUGAAAAAUAAUUCAUAAGUUAAAUAGAUCAUAU
This is an RNA transcript of Camelus dromedarius (Arabian camel), 2618 nucleotides long. It is a transcript of the gene named glomulin, FKBP associated protein, with no coding region annotated. The record is from RefSeq and is a predicted model, not a curated record. Lineage: Eukaryota; Metazoa; Chordata; Mammalia; Artiodactyla; Camelidae. The transcript has 21 exons.